GAGCUGGCUUUAUCCCAGCAGUUCCUUUGAUGACUUAGCGUUGUUUCUUCUCAUUGGUGGUUUGAAUCCUGGGACCAUCCAGAAGCUGCAGGCACUUCCUGGCCCUCUG
Molecule: vault RNA, 109 nt
Filed under: Vombatus ursinus (common wombat)
Lineage: Eukaryota; Metazoa; Chordata; Mammalia; Diprotodontia; Vombatidae
Description: Vault RNA (ENSVURG00010019504.1)
Rfam family: Vault RNA
About the family: This family of RNAs are found as part of the enigmatic vault ribonucleoprotein complex. The complex consists of a major vault protein (MVP), two minor vault proteins (VPARP and TEP1), and several small untranslated RNA molecules.
Source: Rfam by way of RNAcentral